AUGCAAGUCGAACGGUGACGAUGGAGCUUGCUCUGUCUGAUCAGUGGCGAACGGGUGAGUAACACGUGAGUAACCUGCCCCCGACUCUGGAAUAACCGUGGGAAACGACGGCUAAUACCGGAUAUGAGACGCACAGGCAUCUGUGGGUCUGGAAAGAUUUAUCGGUCAGGGAUGGACUCGCGGCCUAUCAGCUUGUUGGUGGGGUAAUGGCCUACCAAGGCGACGACGGGUAGCCGGCCUGAGAGGGCGACCGGCCACACUGGGACUGAGAUACGGCCCAGACUCCUACGGGAGGCAGCAGUGGGGAAUAUUGCACAAUGGGCGCAAGCCUGAUGCAGCGACGCCGCGUGAGGGAUGAAGGCCUUCGGGUUGUAAACCUCUUUCAGCAGGGAAGAAGCGAAAGUGACGGUACCUGCAGAAGAAGCGCCGGCUAACUACGUGCCAGCAGCCGCGGUAAUACGUAGGGCGCAAGCGUUGUCCGGAAUUAUUGGGCGUAAAGAGCUCGUAGGCGGUUUGUCGCGUCUGCUGUGAAAACCUGAGGCUCAACCUCGGGCUUGCAGUGGGUACGGGCAGACUAGAGUGCGGUAGGGGUGACUGGAAUUCCUGGUGUAGCGGUGGAAUGCGCAGAUAUCAGGAGGAACACCGAUGGCGAAGGCAGGUCACUGGGCCGCAACUGACGCUGAGGAGCGAAAGCAUGGGGAGCGAACAGGAUUAGAUACCCUGGUAGUCCAUGCCGUAAACGUUGGGCACUAGGUGUGGGGCUCAUUCCACGAGUUCCGUGCCGCAGCAAACGCAUUAAGUGCCCCGCCUGGGGAGUACGGCCGCAAGGCUAAAACUCAAAGAAAUUGACGGGGGCCCGCACAAGCGGCGGAGCAUGCGGAUUAAUUCGA
RNAcentral lists this ribosomal RNA (890 nucleotides) under Cellulomonas sp. KAR60. RNAcentral's name for it is "bacterial SSU rRNA". It matches the Rfam family "Bacterial small subunit ribosomal RNA", at positions 55 to 954 of the family's 1533-position model. Lineage: Bacteria; Bacillati; Actinomycetota; Actinomycetes; Micrococcales; Cellulomonadaceae. The record is from RNAcentral.